UACGUAGGGGGCAAGCGUUGUCCGGAUUUACUGGGCGUAAAGCGCGUGUAGGCGGCCACGCAGGUCCGUUGUGAAAACUGGAGGCUCAACUUCCAGACGUCGACGGAAACCGUGUGGCUAGAGUCCGGAAGAGGAGAGUGGAAUUUCUGGUGUAGCGGUGAAAUGCGCAGAUAUCAGGAAGAACACCAAUGGCGAAGGCAGCUCUCUGGGACGGUACUGACGCUGAGACGCGAAAAGCGUGGGGGAGCGAACAGG
RNAcentral lists this ribosomal RNA (255 nucleotides) under uncultured bacterium. RNAcentral describes it as "partial 16S ribosomal RNA". It matches the Rfam family "Bacterial small subunit ribosomal RNA", at positions 524 to 776 of the family's 1533-position model. The record is from RNAcentral.